Molecule: ribosomal RNA, 468 nt
Filed under: uncultured bacterium
Lineage: Bacteria
Description: partial 16S ribosomal RNA
Rfam family: Bacterial small subunit ribosomal RNA
Source: RNAcentral
GACGAACGCUGGCGGCGUGCUUAACACAUGCAAGUCGAACGGAAAGGCCCUGCUUUUGUGGGGUGCUCGUGUGGCGAACGGGUGAGUAACACGUGAGUAACCUGCCCUUGACUUUGGGAUAACUUCAGGAAACUGGGGCUAAUACCGGAUAGGAGCUCCUGCUGCAUGGUGGGGGUUGGAAAGUUUCGGCGGUUGGGGAUGGACUCGCGGCUUAUCAGCUUGUUGGUGGGGUAGUGGCUUACCAAGGCUUUGACGGGUAGCCGGCCUGAGAGGGUGACCGGCCACAUUGGGACUGAGAUACGGCCCAGACUCCUACGGGAGGCAGCGGUGGGGAAUAUUGCACAAUGGGCGGAAGCCUGAUGCAGCAACGCCGCGUGCGGGAUAACGGCCUUCGGGUUGUAAACCGCUUUCGCCUGUGACGAAGCGUGAGUGACGGUAAUGGGUAAAGAAGCACCGGCUAACUACGUG